Molecule: ribosomal RNA, 1361 nt
Filed under: uncultured bacterium
Lineage: Bacteria
Description: bacterial SSU rRNA
Rfam family: Bacterial small subunit ribosomal RNA
Source: RNAcentral
AUUGAACGCUGGCGGCAGGCCUAACACAUGCAAGUCGAGCGGUAGCACAGAGAGCUUGCUCUCGGGUGACGAGCGGCGGACGGGUGAGUAAUGUCUGGGAAACUGCCUGAUGGAGGGGGAUAACUACUGGAAACGGUAGCUAAUACCGCAUAACGUCGCAAGACCAAAGUGGGGGACCUUCGGGCCUCAUGCCAUCAGAUGUGCCCAGAUGGGAUUAGCUAGUAGGUGGGGUAACGGCUCACCUAGGCGACGAUCCCUAGCUGGUCUGAGAGGAUGACCAGCCACACUGGAACUGAGACACGGUCCAGACUCCUACGGGAGGCAGCAGUGGGGAAUAUUGCACAAUGGGCGCAAGCCUGAUGCAGCCAUGCCGCGUGUGUGAAGAAGGCCUUCGGGUUGUAAAGCACUUUCAGCGGGGAGGAAGGCGGUGAGGUUAAUAACCUCAUCGAUUGACGUUACCCGCAGAAGAAGCACCGGCUAACUCCGUGCCAGCAGCCGCGGUAAUACGGAGGGUGCAAGCGUUAAUCGGAAUUACUGGGCGUAAAGCGCACGCAGGCGGUCUGUCAAGUCGGAUGUGAAAUCCCCGGGCUCAACCUGGGAACUGCAUUCGAAACUGGCAGGCUAGAGUCUUGUAGAGGGGGGUAGAAUUCCAGGUGUAGCGGUGAAAUGCGUAGAGAUCUGGAGGAAUACCGGUGGCGAAGGCGGCCCCCUGGACAAAGACUGACGCUCAGGUGCGAAAGCGUGGGGAGCAAACAGGAUUAGAUACCCUGGUAGUCCACGCCGUAAACGAUGUCGAUUUGGAGGUUGUGCCCUUGAGGCGUGGCUUCCGGAGCUAACGCGUUAAAUCGACCGCCUGGGGAGUACGGCCGCAAGGUUAAAACUCAAAUGAAUUGACGGGGGCCCGCACAAGCGGUGGAGCAUGUGGUUUAAUUCGAUGCAACGCGAAGAACCCUACCUGGUCUUGACAUCCACAGAACUUUCCAGAGAUGGAUUGGUGCCUUCGGGAACUGUGAGACAGGUGCUGCAUGGCUGUCGUCAGCUCGUGUUGUGAAAUGUUGGGUUAAGUCCCGCAACGAGCGCAACCCUUAUCCUUUGUUGCCAGCGGUCCGGCCGGGAACUCAAAGGAGACUGCCAGUGAUAAACUGGAGGAAGGUGGGGAUGACGUCAAGUCAUCAUGGCCCUUACGACCAGGGCUACACACGUGCUACAAUGGCAUAUACAAAGAGAAGCGACCUCGCGAGAGCAAGCGGACCUCAUAAAGUAUGUCGUAGUCCGGAUUGGAGUCUGCAACUCGACUCCAUGAAGUCGGAAUCGCUAGUAAUCGUAGAUCAGAAUGCUACGGUGAAUACGUUCCCGGGCCU